RNAcentral lists this unclassified non-coding RNA (383 nucleotides) under Athalia rosae (coleseed sawfly). RNAcentral's name for it is "misc RNA ENSAEAG00005011360.1". The record is from RNAcentral. Lineage: Eukaryota; Metazoa; Arthropoda; Insecta; Hymenoptera; Athaliidae.
UAGUGCAGUAUAAAUACACAUGUGAUUCAUAUGAGUACUGUGGCCAAAGUACAGAUGUAAAUAAGUUUAGCUGACUAUCUCACUGCAACUCGUAACGGAUCAUCGUGGACAGCUGAUAACAGUGCCGGAAAGAUAGGCCAGACUUUUCUACUUCCAGGAGCUACUGGAAUCUAUUGUAAAUAUAUAACAAUUAGCGCAAAGUUUAUAUAAAGCAUAUUUUUAGUGAUCACAUCUAAAAUUAAAAGUCAAGUGUUUCAUAUUAUAAACAAUAAUAAUUAGAAAAAUUUGUUUUCGUUGUGUUAAUAUUUGGAGGACAAAUACUUCAAUGUAGCUCAUAUCAAGUUGGCUAAACACAAUAUUUAUACAGACAAAAACCUGGCGCU